This is a long non-coding RNA of Gallus gallus (chicken), 23137 nucleotides long. RefSeq lists it as uncharacterized. The record is from RefSeq and is a predicted model, not a curated record. Lineage: Eukaryota; Metazoa; Chordata; Aves; Galliformes; Phasianidae. The transcript is spliced from 9 exons.
GCUAAAUACUAGCUGUAGCUAUUACCGCAACACAGUCUUAUUGCUGAAUGAAGUCACAGAAUUUGUUAUCUGUCUCAGCAGGAUAAACAAUGCAUAUUACUGAGACUCAAUCCAUUAUCUCUAAGAAUUCAACCACCUGGAUGUGAAAAUGAAUUCAUUCUCUAUGCAAGUUUGUGGGAGAUGUGCAGAAUACAACUCAGCUGGCAAUUUUCUUUGUAGUACAAUUAAAACCUCAAAUACAGCACAGAUCCAUAUAUUGUGGUUUGAGAGGAAAUGCACAAAACUUGUUUUUCAUAUGGUUAGAUGAGUAGCUUAUGCAUGCAUGAUGCUAGAAUUAAUCUCAUGAUGGAAGACUAGGCUUAGAUCAUAUGAUGUCUUUGCUUAGCUGAGUUCUACAACUGUUUUUAAUUGCAGGCCUGGGUUUUGAUUUUAUUAUAGGAGGUCUAUAGUAAAAAACAAGUGUUAGGCAGAGACUCACUGAAGUAAAGGAAGGGGUCAAAUCACUCAACCAUCCCUACCUUUAAGCAGUACGCAUAGUGCUGUGGUGACUGAGUGUAAAUGUGGCUGAAGUAACCUCAUAAUUCAUAACAAAUAAAACUGACUAAAAUACAUUGUGAUUUAUAGAGGUUGUGUGUAUUUCACGCUGUAUGAACUGAUCUGUUUCUGUCAGUAAAUUGGGUACAAACCAUCUAUUACAGCAUGUUAAUUUCUUUACUCAGUUUAUCACAGUCUGUUUUGUAUUCAGAUUGAUUCACUACUUUUCCAGCAUCAUUUACUCAACUGCAUUAUCAUUUAUUUGUAUUGUGGGUUUUUAUUACUCUAAUUUCAGGAUCUAUAAUUGAUCUCUAGAAAUUGAUACUGAUAAGACUAUAAUUAGUGGGAAAGUAGCCUAAUGUGAUCAUAUGUUGAAUGAAUACAGGCUAAUUUUUAUUGAUGUAACUGUUACUAAAAACAUGCCAUCAGGUGGUGAUCUCUAUCUUUGCCGUGACUUCAUUUAGAUUAGAGCAGUGGCAGGACCCUCUCGGCUUCUGGCCAGGCAGCACAUAAUAAAAGCCUUAAAAUACGUGAAACAUUAGAAACCUAUGUUUGAGUUCAUGCAGUAUCACCAUUUAUUGAUGUUAAUAGUUUUAAAAGUUUUAAUUAAAAAAAAAUUAAUAUCUUGUAAGUUUAAUUAUGUACGUUGUAUCUAUCUAUUUUCAAUCCAACUAACUGGCUCUCUCUUUUAAAAAUGAGGUAUCGUUUCAAAAUUAGAAUUGAGUCCUGGAAGUCUGGGCUGAAUUGCACAUCUCAAGUAAUAGCCAAGAAAAAGUAGGAAGUAUUUAAACUACUGAAACGUUAAGAUAGGAUGACAGCUCACUUUCUUUCAGAUCCGAAACCUUGCCAUUGGGCCUUGAUACUUAUUUUGAAAUGGCUUCAUGUGGCUCAACUCAUUUAGUUUGAAAGACAGUUUACAUUUUAGUUUCCAAGAAGUGUUAGCUUUUUCUUGUAUUAUCACAUUCUUCCCUGUUAAUAAAAUCACAGAUACUUAUUCCCGUUUCAGUAAAUAUUAAAUCCCCAGUUGGAGAAUGAUUCCCUACCGCUUUGCAGUACAGAGAAACAGGUGUUUGACUAAUGUUCAAUGAAGAUGAAAACAUUUCCUGACAGAUGUUCAGAGAAAAAAGAAAACAUAAUCAUUAUUGCUGGGUAAUUAUAAAUUAAUUGAGUUAUGCUUUAAUUGUGCCUUGGUCCGUAAGUGCCGUAAGAUGGUAAAGCUAUGAGAAAAGUUCUGAUCAUCAUCUAUCUCAGUAGUCCACUGUCUAUACUUCAGUGCUGUAUGGUCAGGCAUAUUUUGGAUAGUUUUAAUACACAAUCUGGGGUAACAGCAGCAAUCUAAUAGUAAAGUGAAACUCAUGGUAGUGUAACUAUAUUCUUCUUAACCCUGGAUUAAGCAUACCUGUCCAACAAUGAAGUCAUAAUGUUAAUGCACUUGAAAAAAAUAUUCUUAAGCUGGCUUAAACUCUUAAUGGCUACCAGACCUAAUAAAAACUGUUUGGACCAUCCAAAUACGGCUACCUAAUGGUGCUUAAACACUCAUUAAUGAUAUGUGUCAUCUAGAAUGGGGAGUCCUAUUGAAAUUAAUUCAGAAUAUUAUCCUUUGCUGCUGGUAAGCUAUUGUAUUCUGAAAAUAAUAGGUUAAUUAAUGUAUUGUAACCAUGGGGGAGGUUUUUAUUUACUACUUGUUUCCUGGACAGAUGAACUUGGCAAACUACAUUGUGUCCUGUGAAGGAAUCCGAAGUGAAUGUUCUGUUCCAAAAGAGGAAAGUUUACCCAUCUAUUUAUUUCUGACAGUUUGCUCUCCAUCAAAUAAGUUUUAAGGGAGGUAUUAAGACUUUUUAAUUUAUACUUUAUUUUGGAUUGAGUGGAAUCUUUUUCCCUGUUCUGUUUGUACUCUAUUCUCUUCUGAUUCUUCAAAGAAUAAGACAUUAUAGAAUAAAACGGUUUCUUCUUAUUUUCUACUUUUCUGAACUCUGACACAUUUUUGACCUGUUAUGCCUUGAUUGUGGAUCCCUUAUAAGAUAACGAUUUUCAGUCUGCUUCACUUUCUCUAGUUCUGAUUGCUUGCAUGCUCACUAUUUGAAGAAUAUUAAUACAUUAAUUCUGAUUAUUCUGAGAACACAAAAUCAAUUUCUGUGGCAAGAAUCUCUUCUUAUUUUUUUCCCAUGAGACAAAUGCUAUUUUCUUCUUUAUCAGUACAAAAGAGAUCUCAUUUCUGACCUGUUUAUUUUUUUCCUUGUAAAUGCUUGUUUUAUUUUUAUUUAGGCUGUGUUCUUUUAAACUAAUUUAUCUCACUGGCCCCUGACACCAGUGAGAAAGUCUGAAGCAAAGAAGACUUACCCUGGGUUGGGGAGAGCUAGGUUAGGAAAAAUUUGAAUGAACUGGGCAUACACAAAUUCUGACGUGGACCUGACUUAGCAAGUGCUGAUGAAACUCACUGAUGUCUUUGCAAGGUCACUCAUAAUUUUUUUUUUUUUGAAAGGUCAUUGUGUUUAGGGAUGAUCCCUUAGGGAUAGAAAAAAAAAAACAAAUAUCACUCUUACAUCAAGAAGGGCAAAAAAGAGGAGCUACAAACUGGUCAGCCUCAACUCAGUUCCUGGGAAGUCAUGGAGCAAAUAAUCAGGGAAACUGUUUCUAAACAAGUUAAAGACAGAACAAGUUAAAGACAGGCUGAUAGUAGUUGGUGUGGAUUCAUGAAAGGGGUAAAUAUGAUGCUUGACUACCUGGUAGCCUUGCUGAAAGGCUAUGAAAGGAUGAUUGGCAAAGUAGAUGAUGGGAGAGCAGUGGAUGUUAUUUUUCUUGAUUUUAGUAAGAUUUUAUGUAGUCUCCAAGUUGCAUCAUCUAGAAUAACUUAAGUGCUGACUAGAAAAGUGAACUGUGGAUUGAAAACUAGCUGAACUGCUGACCUUACCUGUUGUUGUCAGCAGCAUGAAGUCCUGCUGGAGACCAAUAGGUAUACCAAGGGUCAAUACCAGGAUUGAUACUGUCUAGUAUUUUCAUUGAUGGCUUAGGUUAUAAAAUGAGAGGACCUACUGCAAGUUAACAAAUAAUACAAGAUUGAGGAGAGUUGAUACAACAGAUGGUUGUGCUGCUAUUCAGAGGGACUUGAAAUGGAUGGAGAAAUGGGACUGUCUACUACUCUAAAUAUUGUGGCCCUUGUCUUUUCAUAUUUAGUAGUACGAAUGCAGAAUUCCAAGUUGGGUCAAAUGAUUACUUUGUUUUGGAGGUAUGAAUAUCUUCUUUCUGUCUGAUGUAUUAAGUUUCAGUAAAAGGGAAUUGAUAGCCAAAAUGGUACCCUGAAUUCAAUAGUGCAACACUUUAUUCUUUUUAAAUGUUGCUUAGAAUCUACAUGCUAAGUCUGUUGAUAUUAGUGGCACUGAAAACAGCAUAAUUUGAAAAGGACUUUUAAAUGUUUCUAAAAUGCUUACAGGGCAUUGUUUAGAACAAUGUUAGCAGCUUGUUUGUGCUCUGUAAGCAAAGCAGCAUCUUGCAAACUGCUCGUUUCAAGAAAAAUCACAUUGUAGAUUUACCUUGCUGUUAAAGCUCUUAUUGAUGACAAUCGACCUACAAGAAGUUGUCACUGAUGAAAACUUGCAUAGUACAAUCCCUGGUAUAGUACUGAAAUAUAGUCAGAUAAUGAAAAUUUACCUCUACCAGUGGUCCUGGAAAGAUAGCAUGAAAUCAAGUAAACUGUAUAAAGACAAAUGGGUUGGAUAGUUUGUCUGUCUUGAUCACACAUGAACUGUAGCUAGUUCUACUUUAGUUUGUUUCUGAUUUAAGCUGAGGGAUGCAGUUAAUCAGUUUGCUUACUCUGUGGAUCUGCAGUGUUUUUUUGUGCUUACUGAUACCCCUGACCACAACAUUAUUGCCCUAUAUUUCUCUGUGUACUGAACUUGAUAUAUCUGAGAGAAGCGAUUUAAACUAUUCUGACAUUUCACAUAGCUAAUUUUUGCUUCUCUGAGACAGAAAUCCUAAGCUCUUAAAUCAUUAUCUAAAGUUUGAGCCCCUACAUAGACUCAUGGAGCUGCUUUUUUCCUUCUGCUUCACAAAUUUUGCGUCUUCAAUGGUUUUAACAUAUGCACUCAUCCAACUACUUUAGUCAAAGUAAAUGUUCCAGCACUGUCUAUCUUCUUCCUGUCUCCUUUCUGCUAAAACUUAAACUGAUCACGCAAAACAAACAAACAAAAAAAAUCUGUAGCAUGCAUUUUAGGGCUUAAGUCAUUUUUACUUACACAUAAGACUUGGGAUUUAACUUGAAAAGCUUCUUUAGAUAUGCUUGUUUUUCCUCUAAUGGGAGCCGGUGCAAUUGGCAGAAAGUUUAGAAUACGCAGAAUGAUUUUUUUCAAUGGAUAACUAUAAAGUGACAUUAGUAAAAGAUGGUAAUUGUGUUUGUGAGUAUUUUUUAGGGAUAUGGAAUAGGCUUUGUAUGAUAUCCAUGUGCGUUUCUGGACACCACAGAGUACAGGUUUUUUCUUUACUUACAUUGUAAGAAUGCCUAGAUGCCUGCUGUCAGCACUUUGAGAACUGUAUAUAUACACAUGAAAAACAUAUCGAUGUUUGGAAAAGCAUUCAGCUUGUAAAAGAAACCUCAAGUAGACCCCAUUUGCUAAGCAUAAAAUAACAAUUUCUGGACUGAGAAAAUUUUGUUGGGUAGUUAAUAUGACAAAAAGCAUAUUUAUUACAAAAGGUGCAUACAUAACUGUCAGAUCUAAAACUUGAGUUCUCUCUAUUUGUGCUGUGAAAAAUUAUUUAUUCUGAGGAGACCUCUGAUAGACUUUGACUAGGGAAGAAUAGAUCUCUUUAGCCAAAAAGUAAAAAUGAAGACCGAAAACUUCAUUUAGUUAUGAAAGAAACAAAGUGAGAGAUGUGGAAUUGUUAUUAUUGGGAGGGCUGGUAGUGAAUUCUAUCUCUAGAUUGCCUAACAUUUUCCAUUAUGUUGUGAAUUUGUAAUACCUUUUUUUCUUUCUUUCUUUCUUUUUUUUUUCCUGAUGCUUCUUACAGGGUAAAAGAGGAGAGAAAGAGGUAGAAAAAAAGCUAUUUAAUUUCUUCUUUUUGUUCUUCCGCACUGGCCAUGGGACACCUUUUCUUAUCUUCCUCUCUAAUAAGGAAACGUUUCAAGCAAAUAUAAUUUUGAUUCUGGAGUCAUGUUUUCACAUACUACCUUUGUGGUUGCCCAUGUGAAUUUUAUUUCUUUGAAUCUCUGUAAUUACAAUACAGUUGGUAAUUACAUGAUCAUGCUAUUCUUAUUUAAGAUUUGCGUAUCUUUUAGUAGCUGAUAUUUUUACAUAAGGGAAAAGAUUAAAGUUUUAUGAGUAACUUUUUCUAUAAGGUUUUAUUUUUAAUGCAACAUUUAAAAUAAAGCAAAGAAAGAAAAAUAAACUCAACGGAAUAUUAUUCUGUUUAAAAUACCAGUGCUAAAGGAAGAGAACAUUUGAAGAAAAUAACUGUAGUAUUUUAGGAAAAAUACAGUUCAGUUGGAAGGUUGAUUGCUUUCCGAAAGAAAAGUAGUCUAGAGAUGUGGGGACCUGAUCUGGUGAGGAUAUCAUUUUGCAUAACUGAUUUGCUUCUUUGUCAGUGUUAGAAUUGUGUAGAAUAUUUUCACAGAGUAAUGGGAAAAUGUAGAAAGAGGAAGAUGCGGGGUUAGGGAGACCUGCUGGAUUCAUAGAAAAAGUUGGAGAAAUGGAGAAGAAAUACUGAGAAUAAAGAUAAAAGAAAUAUCAGUCAGUGAGCAUUUAAAGAAAAGCUGUGAUUUAGGGUAAUUUAUCAUUGUGAACAUUUACAAGUAGUCACACAUUAUAUAAAGUAUCAGGAGCUUAAAUUUUUAGUGAAUAUAUAUAGUAAAUGCUAGUAAUUAAAAAUGAUAUAAAUUUACUGAAAAAAUAAGCAAGUUCACAUAAACUAUAAUGCUUCUAUGUUACUCAUUAAAAUCAGUGUUCAAAGAAAUUUUUGCAGCAGCAUAGUCAAUUUUUUUUUAAUGAUUCAAAGCCUCAAAGUGUAGAAUACUGAGACUGCAAUUGUUAAGGCUGGAGAGUUCUCAGAAGGUAUGUGUGUGAGUGUUGGUAUCUAGCACUUGAAUAUUCAACUUCAAGGAUUGAUAUUAGAGUUUAUGAAUAUAGAAUGCAAGUAAAGUGGUGGAUAAGUGAUCGUGAUUCCCAAUUAUUGCUUACACAAUAAUAUAAGAUCCACUAGUUACAAUGAAAAAUUCCUAUGAAAUAUCUAAUGGAAUCUAAGCAGAGUAAACAGAGAGAGAGACAGGCUUGGUGGGAGACACUAUUUGUGCUAAUUUGGACAAAUUUACAUUUGCCUUGGAUUUUGAUGCAGAUGCAGUGAAUGUUGAAGAAUGUAUGUGUGUGUAUAUAUAUAUAUUCUUUUUCUGUGAUGCAGCUCAAAAUGUGAAUAAUAAAUCAUUUAUGACAUUGACCUGAAAAUACAUCACAACAUUGUCUAAUUCAGCCCUCAGUAUCUAUUGUGAACUUUGAGGGAAAUAAUGGCCCUAAAAAUGGUACAGCUCUGUGUAAAUAAAUUCUAUGCCAAGAGCUCUGUCCUUACAGGGCAUAACAGAUGAAUAAGUGAGGUUAUUUAAAAAUAAACAACUUUUAGGUAACUUCCCUGACACUGGUUUUAUAAACUGCUGCUGAUAUUGCAAUGACUUGUGUAUUUUAAAUUAAACCAGUUUAGGGUAAUUUCUUUUUCUACUGUUCAAACCCAUUAAGUUAGUGUAAUUAUCACAGUAGGGAACGAGCAGUGUAGUAAGAAUGCCUGGACUCACUUUCUCUAGAAGGAAUAAAUGGCAAAUAGAAGAACUCCCACUAAUUCUAACACAAUUCACAGAUUUUGAAGAUAGAACAUUUUAAUAGGAUCAAUUUAAUAUUAUACCUCUUGGCAUAAUAACUAGGAUAUAUAUUUAAUAAUAUCAUGCACAAUACAGACAUAAGUAACAAAUACACACACAGUAUAUAAAGUACAGUAUUCUGUGUUUCUUUGCAUUGUCCGUGUGAGAAUAUCAAAGAGGCUUACAAAUGUUAAAUGAAAAUAUACUGGUUAAAUUCAGCAGGAUUUUAAUCUAUACCUGACAAUCUUAUAUUUUGUCCUCAAGAUUUCAGUUUAUUCACUUUUAUUUAUUCUUAUAUAACAAACAAUCCUAAACACUAUCAUAUGUUACAAUUUCUGAUUAAGCACUUUAUGGCUUUCCAGAUGUCAUUACAAAUGAGUAGAGUAGAUGUGCCUAAUUACUGUACCAGCAGACAAGAUGUGCAGUGUGUUGUUUAGGGGAAACAGUGAAAUAUUUCUGCCCAAAGUGAACCACAAAAACUUUGCACCCUCUUAUUUAAAUUCUUUUGUGAUUCUCAAACCUCUGUAUGGUUCACAGGGCUGCAUAAUGAAUACCUGUCCAAUAGGACAUUAAUUGAUGGGGCAGAGAUCAAUUAGAUCCUCUGUCUACUGUUACCAGAGUAGUCCUACAAAAGGAGCUAUUUUGAGGUGCUUUUAGUGCAUUCUGUGGGAGAGACGAUGAUUUAGUCACAUAUAUGCUUGAAGUUACAUUUUAUAUCAAAUGAAUGGUUAAUAGAUAUGAAUAGGAGAGUUUUUAAAGAUGACGAAUCUAUCUAGUAGUAAGACAAUGUGUAAUUUUUUCAGAGUUCUUUUUCUAUGGGGUUUUCAGGACACUGUCAGAUUGAAAACAAAAUAUAACACUUGGCGAUAUUUUUUUAAGAAAGCUCAGGUAGGAUGAAUCCCGUGUCAAGGAGAGAAAGCUAAAAUGAUGAAAAUGAUGGAGCUGAGACAGACUUGCUAGUAUGAGAUGUGGAUGGAAAGGCACCUGUACCUGAUAAUGCAGUCUGAACUACAGAAAGUAAAGCAGUUGAUGAUGGAGGUCCAUCUACACAACAAAUUAUGUGAACUUUGCAGAGCUCUGAAAGUAAACACUGUCUGGAUAAUGUUGAUUUCUUUUUUAACCCCCCUCAUUUCCAAAGCAAAUGUUUGCUGAACAUUGAUUGGAUGUUACUCAGUUGAAUGUCUCACUGAUGAACAGGUGGCUAAAACCUGCUUGUUCAUGCUGUCAACAAGUAGCAUUAGCUUAACAAUAUUUUGUAGGAUACAGUACUUUGCUAACAGUAACAGGGAAUUGGAUAUUGGAAAGCAGUGAUCUUUUGAAACUUCUACUUUCUACUGCAUUGAGGAAUGAAACCGGAAAAGCAAGCGUUCUCCUAAAUCAGUCUUCAGAUCAUAUGUUAAGAGAAAAAAAAAUUCAUUGUAUUUAUUUUUCAAUACAGUAAAUCUCUAGCACAAGAAAAAGAGAAGAACUGUAGGAAUGAGAUUCUUCAAAGAUUUGAUCUUGAGGAAUACAGAGAGGAAAUACAGAAGUAUGAGUUGUCAUAAUUUCUAGGCUACAUUUGCCUAAGAUCUUAAAGGGCUACUAGGAUGGGUAGGUCAUGUGCUGUUUCAUUUAGCUGUGGUUAAGUUAAAGUGACACAGUUCUACAUAAUCAACGUUCUGAUUGUCAUGGUCUGGCCUGAUGUGCCUCUGUUGAGUAUAAGCACUAAUUUUGUUCAUUUAUGAGGAAUGACAAAAUGCGUUUAACAGAAAGGCAGCGAAGACUCAAAUGUAGAUGUAUAGUUCCUCUAAGUCUUCAAAGAAAGCAGAAUAGAAUUCACAAUACACCUCUAUUGAUUUUAAUCUGUAGUUAAUUGAUAGAAUACUUUUGUCCUGCAGUAUACCCAUUAAAGAAAAUACAAUUGCAAAGGAGGAAAUGAAAUAGAUCUUCAGAAUCCUUCUUUCUGGUGUUUCUUCUUCUAAGAAGUGCUAAAUGGUCAUUCCUUUCUUCAGGUGAUUCUCAUACUGUAAAAAUUGACCUCCUUUUUCUCUACUGCAAGGCAAGCUGCCCACGCACUAACAGAAGUAAAAUAUGUGUCCUCUCUGAAACACUGGAAUUUGUUCAGGCUGUUUAUCUGGCACUUCAUUUAUGUGUCUCGUAGACAUUUGAAUUGGCACAGCUUUUGUGAUUUCACACUUCUCUUUUCUCCAUAUCAAAUGUAAUUUAUAUUGGGAAUGAAAAGACAUAACAAGAAUUAAUUCUGAGGCUUUAUUAAUCUUUUAAGUGAUAAGAUUAUUCAGGAUUAUUUUUUUUAACUGAGGCAACUAUGGGUUCUCAAAUUGAAGGCAUUGCAUGCUAAUUAGAAUCACACCAAUAAUUCUGCAGAGGGCAACAGUUCUAAUAAGGAAAUUCAUGGAAGUGGAACAUUUCUAAACAGUGCCAUUAAGUUUCUUCUAGCAGGACUCAGAUGAUGAUAUAGAAAGAAGAUGAAAAUAGAUGAUACAUUUGGUUUAGGGAAGUCCUAAGCUGUGCUAUAAAUAGCAUAUGCAUCCCCCAUGAAGAUAAUGGGGAGAAUCCUCUCCUCAUCUCCCUCUUUCUUAGAGACGUUUUACCAUUUUGAGAGACUGAUAUAAUUGUUUAAUAAAGAAGCAUUUGUGGAAAUAAGAAAAAAUAACAUUAUCCUAAAUAUAUUCAUCAGAGUUUCAAUUGAGAGAGCUAACUUCUUUUUCUGUCCGAUUUAGUUUCUUAUUCAUUUAUUGCUUUGGAAUUUGUAGGUGAAUGAACAUAGGCAUAAUAACUUAUAGGUGUUGAUUCAUUUACAUUUCUGAAUGGGAUUGUGUGUGUUGUUUGCUGUCCUCUAGAGAUCAAACAAGCCUAAUAACACGAAUCUGAGUGAUGUCAAAAUACCACUCUUGUAUUGUUGAAGCUAGCUACUCUUUAAAAUAGAUUCAAGGAAAAGACAAUUAGUUUCUGUCUAGGGACUACUGCACAAAUGUCCUUCAGUGAAAAAUCACUUACGCUUUCAAUAUAUCUUGAAAGGCUUUAUUAAGGCAUAAUACAAAAUUCUCUCAGAGCACUGACACAUGCCAGAGGGCAGACUAAUGAGAACUGGAUAGCCAAGCCACCUGCCUGAUUUCUGUGCUGAGAAUUUGCUGGAGAUUUAAGAAAAUUGGUGGAUGAGUCAGUAAUUGAAGAAGUUCUUUGACUUCCUGUGCAAUAUAAGGGGCAACAAGUGAAAAGCAGUCUUAGCCGCAGGGACAUUUGUACCACUUCUGGCUGUAAUGUCAACGUAACUGUCACAUUUGUCACCUGAUACAGAAAUUACGUGUAUCUCAAAGAGGAGACAGUUGAGUGUUGUGCGUUCAUCUUCAUGGCUGUUUAGCUAACAUCAGAAAGAUUACUAUGGAAAAUCACAAAUAAUUAAAAAAUGACAAAUAUAUGAUCAAAACUGAUGUAUCACUGUUUUUUCUGAGCUCUUAAAUAGUAUAGCCAUACUUGUUUGAAAAGGUACACUAGUAAAACAUUUGCUCUGCUGUGAUUGAUUGUAUCAUAAUAUAUCCAAUUUCAAAAACAGGUAAGACUAAAUAGCUUGCAGUUUUCAGUGAUGCUUAUUUUUCAACUUUUCAGAUGUGUGUCUCAGGUAAAAUGCUAUGAAAAUGUUACAUUUUCCCUCAGAGCAGCACUGUUUCUUUCUUGCAUUUGCUCAGCUGUUCUUAGCUGCGUUGUUGAUGGAAGAAUUCCUUUAUUUCUUUCCUAACUAUAGUCUAGUGCUAACUGUAAAGAAAGAUUCAUGUGAAGCUUAUCAGACUGUCCAAAUCAUCUAUUGUCAGUUGUGAUGCAAGCUGCAAGCUGGCUCUGUACCAUCAUAUAGCUGUUAUGUAAAAAGGUUUGUCUGAGGAAGCACCUGAAUUCUAGGUGAUUUUUCUUUCUACUUUUCCUACCUAAAAGCUUGUCAUUUGUAGCUGAUCUUGAAAAUGUUUUGACAAACUAGCAACUAAAAUCCGAGUGUUUAUAGGGUUGUUAAUUUAAGAGAAAUGACAGUAGCUAUCUAGGCCUCAAUAUAAUUUAUCUAGUGACUCUCAGGUGAUAGAAGUGAACAGAGUUUUAUGUAGAAAUAUUUGGGUAGAGAAAGCUGAUUAAACCUCUCAGAUGUAUACUUAAAGAGACUCCUCUGAGUUUGUUAUGGCAGUUUAAAAUAGUGACGAGUAAAAUAUUUACCUUUAAAUCUUCUGAUUAGAGGUCGGACCAUUAUUUCCUCUGACUUACAGAUGUUACUGUGAUAGCUUCUUGAAUAUUCUCUAUCUGAGGAGAGUCAUCUGUGUCCUACUACACAGGUAAUUUUACUGCAAAAAAAGCUUGUAGUUGGAGCGAAGAAUUGUCCAUAGACAGUGAUCUCUGCAGAGGAAAUAUAGGCUAUACUUCCUUCUGAAUUCAAGGUACACUUCCUUUUAACAUCUACAUUGUUGACAUAUUCACAAAUCAUUAGAGUAGGAAGUUGACACUGUCAGCAACUUCCUCAUCCUCGGGACCUGCAGAUUGUUUGCUGGAGCUGCUACUUCCAUGGCAUUUUUGUAUGGUUUUGCUCUUCCUCUGGGAUUCCAUUCUUGUGUGAAUCCUCUCUGUGGAGUUUCUUACAUGAUUUUUGUCAGUCACCUUUUUAUUUUAUUACUGCUACUUUCUUUUUUUUUUUUUUUAAGUGAAAAAAGGUUUACAUGCCCACAGUUCUUGAAAAAGAUUUCACUUGUUGUUGAAGGUUCAAUUGGAUUGGUUGCUGAAGAUAUUUCAUGUCAAUAAUACAGUAAUAGAAGUUGCUGUCUCUUUGUAUUUUGGUUCCACAGUGUGGAGUCAGGGUAAAGGUCUCUAGAGUAAUGAGGAGGUACUAUCUGGAAAGAGGUUCAAGCUCAUGCAACAUUAGGUAGAGUCUUUUGACCAAUCUGAUCUUGAAAGCAUUCAAACUCAAGUAGAUCAUUGCUGUCCACAGGUUGGAAUAGAGUGUUCCUAAGCUUUAGGCUUCUAACUUAAGGACUAUUUAGGCAUACCCUCACCUAAAACAUCUCAAAAAAGAACUGGCUUCCUCACCCCAGGUCCUCCAAAAUGAUUGUAUUUUUCACUGUAUCUGGGAGCAGGGAGCUCAUGACAGGUCUUCUCCUGGGGCUGUAACAAUCUGACCCCUGAGUCUGGAGGACCUUCUUCCUUUCCAAGUUUGUCUGUUAUUUAGUGCAACUGGGCUUUUUCCCUUACUUUGUACCUCUAUUGAAUUGAGAACUUAAUGGGGAGUAGAUGAGAUUGAAUACAGUAUGGGGAAUUCAAACUGAAUUAUAGUUCAUUCAAUCUCACUAUAGGGAAGGGCAAGAAUCUUCCAUUGUGUAGGCCAGAUGUGUCAUGUCAGAACAAUUAAUCUGGCUUGCUCCCACCAUUUUGCUUCUCAGUGGCCCCUCAGAAGGUAAGAGUCAGUGGACUACAAGCAAAAUAACUUGUGCUGGCAGUAUAUUUAUUCCCUGUUAUCCUGUUCUUCAGUAACCUUGCUGCCGAUCCUCCUCCUGUCCCUAUCAUACGGGGAGUGACAUGACUGAGUACAACUGCGGUUAUAGUGUUGGGUGCAGAUUCGGCUAUGUGGCGUGACCACUUGAUUCUCAAGCCACGUCAUAGGGACACUCUCAAUGCACCACUAGAUGUAUGCUAAUUAUGUUAUCAACAUAGCAUAUUUUCCAUCAUAUAAUCGGUGUUGAAUAUGCUGAUAUUUUUAGAAUAACUGUGGUAUCACUUUGCCUUUGUAAUGGGGUGGAUGGGGACACCUGAGUACAAGUGCUUCCAUCAAAGCCUAUGUGACUUAUUUUCUUUAAAAAUAAUCCACACUAUUGUAGAACGUAAGGUCUGCAGAAACUGUUUUGUUCUUAUAUUUACUAGGAGAUCUGAAGAAAGUGGCUUAGAGGAAGCAAAUUUAUUACUGCAUCUAGUUCAGUUCUUGCCUACAGAGCUUGUCUCAGGUCAGUGCAUACACAAAUUAAAAUUCUUAAAUGUGACAGAUGGUAUUUGUUUUUGGUGAGUAUUCUCAGUUGUUUGCUGUGUCCCUUCAAGAAGUAGAUGUAAAAGGAGCCCUUGGAAAUGACAACAGGGGAGUGGAUUCAUCUUCGGUGAGAAAGGAGCCUUGUUUGGGGAGCAGGUUCCAGCACCGUAGGGUAUGACAGUAGGAGAAUCUCUAUGGGAGGCUGCAGCCUAGAGGGAAGGGACUGAGAGUCUGCUCAGAGCAGACAGCAGAUCUCUGAGAUAAUAGAAUGAACUUUUUUUGUUAUCAGAGGAGACUAGCAAAGUUCAGCACAGUUCAGAAAGCCACUGAGUUAUCCAAAGUUAUGCCUACAAGCAAUAAUCUGUCUCCAAGGACACAGUGGGCAGAGAGCAGAGUUAUUUAUGAGGUUGUUUUACUUUCUAUCUGUUCGAUGCAUUUGCUUUGAAUUUUUUUGCACUCUAAAUCUGGGUUUCUUUUUUUUAUAUGUAUAAAACUUGUCCCUUCCAUUUUGUGUCUGAGGUUAUCUUGCUAUAGAUAAAGGUCUAAGCAGAUCCAAGUCAAAGCUCUAACCAGUAUCAGCUUCCUUCAAAUCAAUAAUUUCUGAUUACUUACUAUCUUUACAGUCUAUAGAGGACACCCUCAGCGGAUCUUUGGUGUGGCUCGCUGAUGGUUUUGACAUGAUUGUAGAACUAACAAUAACUUCUUGAAAGUGAAACCUUUGCUCUGCUGUUUCUGCUAUAUUAUUGCUUCCCUCUAUGCCAGCACUGCAUCUCAUUUCAGUGGCCUUUACAGAAAAUGCAUAAUUUUUCUUUUCUGGCCUCUGUGUUACUCUCAGCCACUCUUAUACUUAUGUGCAUGACUCUUCAAAGUAUUUGAUGACUUAGCUUGUUUGAAACAUGCAAUUCCUUUAUUUAUGGUGCAAGUAGGAAGAAAUCUAAAGAACACAGUUGGGUCUGAGUGACUGUGGGCAGCAGAGCUCUUCCACUACUUCAUAAAAUUUGCCGAGAUGUGUGGGUUGUGAGAGGAAAUGGAGUCUAGUGGCUUGAGGGUAGAUUUCUCAGCCAUCUGUGGGACUAGAGAAGUAUUUAUAUUGUGGCUUAGGACAGUGAUGGAUUUUUCCCUGCUUUCCCCAGCUCUUUUUGCUCAGCUCUGGGUUUUCUCACACCCAAUCUUAGCAUUCACAAACUUGCACAACGACACACAAGUGAAAAAAUCUGCAUGCAAUGAAUUCACAGAAGUUCUUUAGAUCAUAACAUUAUUUUUGGGCUGUAGGGAAUCUGGGAUAGUUGCUUGUUAUGCAGCAGUGCAUCUUAUCAGCUGGUGUCUUUGCCUUGUUCAACAAGUGAUAGUUCUAUUCUUUUGCUGGCAGGUGGUCUCAAAACUACAAGUGUUCAGUGCAUUUGGCCCUAGUCCUUGGGGACUGGAUUGGCAUAAAGACUUCUGUCUCUAAUUACUAACAAAUCAUAAAGUGCAGUGGGAUAAUCCUUCCUUGACUUGCCUUGACUUCUUUCAAGCCAUGUGUGUUCUCCCUGAACUGCAGCAAUGUGUAGUUAGCCAGUUAGUAUUUGCUGUUCUCUGCAAAGCUCCCUUCACAGGACCUUUCAAAAAAGAUUCUCCCUCACCUUUAAGUAUAUUUUUGCAGAGCUUUUAUUUUCUAAAGAAAACACAGCACAAAGAUAAAGAAUUAAAAUUAUAAAAUGUCCAGAAUAAGGAGAGAAAAAGCAAUGAGUGUUGCUUAUCAAUUCAGAGGUGGGACAAAACGAAGAGGCAGUUUUUCUCAAUCAUUGUCAGUCUUAAGGUUGACAAGCCUUAAGCCAAGGAUAUAGAAAAGGCACAUCCAAACAUUAGACAACGGUUUACAAUUUAAGAAGGAGCUGGAUGAUGUUAUGAGGACUUGACAACUGCUGUCCCUUUCCAUCAUGGCCAGAAUACUUGGUGCUUGUGAAUAUUAUGUGGAUAUGAAAGAAUGAGUCUAAAGUAAUGAAUGAGUGAAAUCUAUGAGAGAAUGACUGAGAGUGAAAUGAGUUUUGAUAAGAUUUCUCUUUCCUUCCUCUGUGCUCUCUCAUUGAGGUUAUUCACACUAGUUGUGCAACACCAGUGCCAGAAGUUCAUUUAAGAAGCAUAAAACCAUUUUUACACUGUAAUAGUAUCACUGAUAUUAUGUCAUUUAGGGGAGGCAGGAGAAGAAGCUCAUAAUAUUUGAAUAUUUUGUAAGUGUAAUGCAAAGCUGAAGAAUGAGGAAGGGGGAGGACAGCAUUAUUAGUCCUUUCCUUGGCAUGUCAGUAGGUAGUUAAGGAGAUCCUGUCACAGUUCAUUCAACAUUAAAAUUAUAUAUUCUGUUGAGAGGUGACUGCUUCCAUUAACAGCAAUUACAUUCAAGGAAGUUCAUUUCUGUGAAAUGAUCCUGCAUUUCCAAAAUUGCAGUGUUGCUGUUAUAUGCAUUGUUUCUGUAUCAUUUAAUUUUCAUUGUUAGCAGAGUUUCUCACCUUGAAUGUAGUAUUAGACUGUAAUGUAGAGUCCAGUUUCCAGUUUGCUUUUGUGUCAAAUACUGAUAGAAAAUAGAUCACUCAUAGCCUUAGAUCAUUCUUGCCUCUGAGGCUCUUAUUGUGUUUUAUCUAUGUGCAAAAAAGACACAUACUUCACAAACUAAAGUGAGACAGAGAUACGGGAUCAUGGAGUGGAAAAUACAAACAUCAAGAUCGCUGUCCUAGACCAGUGACUUUCCCCUUAGCACAGAGAGAACACUGUUGUGGUGCUCAACGCUGGGUUUAUGAAAUGCUGUGUGCUCUUUGCUAUGUCACAGACCCCCCUGUGCCAAGGGGAAUUUUGCCUGCUAUGAGCCAUUAAUACUGGGGUCACCAUCUGCUUGUUUCUGCUUCUGAGUGAAGGAAAGGACUGUCUUUUUUCAUAUUAAGUAGGUCUGUGGCCAGUAUUUAUUUUUAAUACCUUUCCUAAAAGAAAAGAAUUAUCCUAAUAAUUAUUCUAGAGGCUUUGUGCCCAUAAGUGGCCCAGGAAAAGCUGUCAGGCUGUGCAACCCUGAAACAAAUAAUAUUUGUGCAAUAGAGUUUGCUGCAUUUGAAGAGGGGACAGCGCGAACUCUUCCUGUGUAUUACAGCACUGGGAGUGCUCUGUUUUUUUUCUUUAGGACAGUGGUCCCCUCAAAAUAUUAGACACAGACACUUGUGUAGUAUCUUCUAGCACGUAGGAUGCUUAAAGCUGCUUUCUGAUCUAAUGUAUUUGUUUUCUCUAUAUGGUCAUUUGCACUCUCUUUGCAGAGAUUUAAAACUCAAGCGCAUAAGCAUUUUUAUUCUACAGUGUUGCAUCUUGGUUGUGCAUAAGCACUAGCUGUUAAAGGUGUAGAGCAGUUCACAAGGGGUUUGUCUAAAUCAAGGUAACUCUCAUCAGCUCAGAGAGACGUGCAGUCUCCACUGAAGUAUCAGUAGCCUUCAAUUCAGUACAAGACCAAAUACUCUUUAAAUGGAUAAUGAUGGGGAGUGCUUGCAAAGUGAAAUGCUGGACAGUCCUGAUACUUGAUCCAGGAAAGAGCUAGAAAAAUUGUACCUCACAGCACAAAACUAAACCACUAUUUCUGGCCAGAGAACUGGAGAGCUUGAUUUGCAUUGCCAGUUGUAAGAAUCUAAGGUUCAUUGAUAUAUCAAGGUUUCUGUGUGCUCCAUCAGCCCUUUGAAUCUUUUGAGAUUUCUUUGCUAUUUAUAGCACAUAUCUUAGUCAUUAGAUUGUGUAGGCUGUGUUCUAAUGCCUUUUAAAGCUGGAGAGUCAGUGGAAAUAUUGCAAUUAACAUGACAACAGUUAUUUUAAAACUAACCUUCUGUCAACAAAAAGCCCUCAGAGCUGCUAUUUUGCUUGUUGGCUGUCAUGCCUCUUGUCCCAGGGGAACCAUCCCUGGCUGAUUGUGCUGUGACACUGACAGCUUUUUGCUGCAGGGAAUCUUCACGUAUUUUCCCCAGGUAAAGAGACAGCAAUAUUAUGUCAUUUAAGCUGUUUUGGAGAACAGACACAGUAAGACAGGCAAACCUAAAAAUGCAAAUGCAUGGAAGUGGAACUAUGUGGCUCUCAGUACUAACAAGUAGCUGUGAGAUGCCUGUAUUCUAUUUCUGGCUGUCAUUUUCUCAUACCAUUGUGAACUAGUAAAUUAACCUUGUUCAGUGACUGCAGCACCAUUUAGAAAAUGGGAAUGGUAAUGCUUAGCACCACGAAGGGGCAGUGUAAUUCUUUGCUAAUUAAUAUUUAUAUAGUGACAGAUUCUCCAUUGCUCUGCACCUUUGCAGUAAUUUAAAUCUGUGCAAAAUGAAGACAAAGUGGCUGAAAAGUACAGCUGUGUUAUAUGAACUCUGCCAAUGUGAAGGGCUAUACCAGGAUUACAGCAGUGGAGAGUCUGUCUUAAUUUUCAAAAUACUUUUGCCUGUAGGCAUAGAUCUAUUAAUUCAAUAGUGGAAGUAUCUGUAAUAUUUUCAAGUGCCUCCUUCUUAGACUAUAGCAGAUGAAAAGGUUAGCGUGGUGUUAAGGUACAAACUUACAGGACACUAGUUACUUCAAUAGUUACACACAUUUGUGCACAUAUUCUUACAUUGUAGGUAGUGUAUCUGCCAGUCAAAAAGGAAUAAACCAUAUUUGAAUUACCAUAGAGGUGCAAAAAGUCAUACUGCAGCAUAACUUUGCAGUAAAUUCUUGAUACCUGUCUUAUAUUUUGAUAUGUUUAGUGGGUACCUAUACUUCUCUUGCAGCAAUAAUGAGUUUUAGGGAUGAUGAGGAACACAGGAGUUCAGUGAUUCAAGAGAAAUGUUGGCUUUUGAUCCUUUAGAAAGUUUCUUCUUUUUAUAAAAGAAGCCUUUGGAGGUGAGGAUACCAGUAAUUUUUACCUGCUGGGAAUUUAAGUGUCCCCGACAAGUUAAAAGAAACAGUACCUGCUCGUGAUUCUCUGCUAGGCAGACUAGAAGACAGCAGGACAAACUGCCAUCUUAUUUAAUUAAUGAAGAUGAAUCAAGGACACAGGUAACAGAAUAAUCAUCAGGUUAUCACAGGGAGGUGUCUUUUUUGUCAUUUAGCAAGAAGAUCUUGACAGAUCUCUUUUUGCAGGCUAACUGUAAUCAGUGCUUGUUUGCCAUGCUCAGCCUGCCUUUUCUUACAACUAGACAUAAAACUUUUUUGAACUCUUACUGCAUGACACAUUCUAGGCUGUGAAGGAAUGAAUAAGGAGUACCAAUAGUUUUGGAAUUGGUAAGUUAUUAUUUCCUAGCCUGUGUUUCUACUGUUCUCGUAGUCUGAAGAGAGUAUGUGACUGCAGUUUUAUUCCUGCUCAGUUUAGCUUUCAUUUGCAAAAUUGUGGGGAGAAGAAUUUUUUUUCACUUUUUAUCCACUGGUCCUUCUCAACACUUUGUUUUCCAUGCAGCAGCGGCCAGAAUCUUGUAUAUUUGUUAGUCACAAAAUUUGGUGCACAUUCUUAUUGCUUCUUUGAUUAUGUGCCUGUCACCAAGAGUCUAGCUGUCUGUUCAGAACACUUUCUGAUUAACCAUGGUCUUCUUAUCAUACACUUCACUUUUAGAGUAUCAGAUAAUAUUCCUCCUUACUGAGAGUUAAAGUAUUCCCAAUAAAUAGAAACUGUAACUGGAAUCCAGACAGUGUGGUGUCCAUUAAUUAAAGUGAUGGGAAACUAUUCAGUGAGCAGUUUGUCUCUACAAGAUUAUCACAUUAAAAUACUCUUUUCAGGGUAAGAAAAACACUAGAUGGGGUGACACGAUGUAAGUGUAAGCAUGACUAGGAAGUAUGAGCUGCUAUUAAAUGAAUGCCCUACCUUGCAGGCUUUGUGAUUAUUUCCCAUCUGCUGUUUCUGCACAAAAAGAAAAGCGUUUUCUUUUGACAUCUGUUUUGUGUUUGUGUUUGCUCCUGGAACACAUCAUAGAAUUGAAACAAUCCUACUCAUCCCGUCAUAAAGAAAAGAACAGCGUCCUGCAUGCUGUUCAGUCUAUCUUCUGGAGCCCCAGCAGUAUGAGUUGUAGUUCCUUGUCCAGUCUGGGGCUCAAGAAACAGAAUUUUUUACUGGUUGUCUGCAGAGGCUCUUCUACAGCCUGAAACCAGGGAUAAUAGAGAUCUUAGAUUUCAAACAUUUGGAAAGGUAUGUGCUACAGAAGCUAGCUCAGAGCCGUGCUGCCAGCCCUGGACAUGUGUUUCUACAUACGAAAAAAGUCCUUAAUAUUGAGAAUUUUUCUGACCAGUGAAAGGACAUAUUGCUUUGUGUCCCAUCGUGUACACACCACAGUGCCUUCUGAGAACCUGAUGCUGGGGAUAGCUGCUUUCUCUUGAUCCUGUGAGUGCCUUGAGGUUCAGUUGGAAGUUUGAUACCGACUUUAUUGGAGCCUGAGAAUGAACAACAAAUUUACUGCUUAAUUAUUCCAAAAGGCUUUUCUUAGGAAAGGAGCCUUUACCAAAUACAGACCUGGAUUCUGCUCUGUUAGAGUUUGUCUGAUGCUUUCCAGAAGGUGAACCUCCACACAUCAAUUCUGCAGAAGGGGUUAGAGGUCCGCUAAUACCAUCCUUGCUGAAAACAGCUGUAACUUGAAGAACAGCAACAGCUGGAGGUCAAGCAGCUAUCAUCCCUGAAAUAGUUGCCUUCUCACUGGUAUUGAAACUACUACUUGUCAUCAGCUAGAUCACUUCAAAACACUCCCUGUACUAUGAAGAAACAAGUGGGCUUCCUGUCUCAGAAGACCAAUGUGAAGUGACAUGUUGAGGCAGUACUGGCAUUUCUAUCAUCACCAUUACCAGGGCUUGAGUUUAAGUAGGACAAAGAAGAUGGGAAAGGAGAUUUCUUCAGCUGCAAGAAGAGGAAACAGUAUCCUGGGCUGCAUUCAACAUAACUUUGCCAGGAGGUUGAUGAAGGUCAACCUCUACUCAGCACUGGACACGCCUAUUCGAUAUGGACUGUGAUACCUCAAGCACAAAACUCCAAAAUUCUAUUUUCUUUGACUUGUAAAAGUUUAUUUUUUUAACACAUCUGGAAGAAGCCUGCAUAAGAUGGACAGACUUCACCUGAGCUUUAAGAGGUCCAAGAUGCUGGCACUUUAAACAAAGAUUGUGAGUGAAACUUUAGAUUGAUGAGUGAAAGGAAAACACAUGAGUGUGGAAGAACAAACAGUUUAGAAUAAUGAUUCAUGGUAUUCAAAUAUGAACAUUCUUUAACUUCAUGUACAUGACAAGCCAGAGGCUGAAAAUCAAAUAUGAAAUAGAAAAUAAUUUCCAUUAGAUAGAAUUAGAAGGCAACUACAAAAUAAAACUUGUUUACAUCUGUGUACCUGACAGAUAACAGCAGACUCUGCACAAAGAAGUCUUGCCCUUCAAAUUAUUUGAGGAAACCAGUAUGAAUAGCAAUUUUUUUUUUUAUAUAUUCAUAAGUUUUUUAUGUCAAACUCCCACACCAAAGGCUUCUAAGAAAGCCAGGCAGCACUAGGUUAGGAAGGAACUUCCAGGAACAGGUGAACAAUUGGCUAAAAGAUUGAAGGUGGAAGAGGGGAGGGCUUGGGUGAAACGUGAGCGCUUCCAAUGGAGGGAACGAAGUUGGGAAAUCCAAUGGGUUUCAACUGUCAAAAAAGGUGUAUGUGGUAAGGCAAGUAUGUUUGCCUGGGAUACAGAGUAUGCUCACUUGUGAUACAAUGUAUGUUCAAGGGAGUAAGGAUAAGAUUGGACUGUGAAAAGCUACUAUGAAACCUUUCAAUGCCCUGCUAUCAGAAAAACAAAAGAGUCCAGAAUAGAACGGAAUAGCUCAGUUGCAAGAGGUCCUCAAAAAACAUACAGUCCAACUGCCUGACAACUUCAGAGCUAAACAAAAGUUUAAGCAAGUUGAUAGGGGUAUUGUCCAAAUGCCUCUUGAACACUGUCACACAUACGGCAUCUAGAAAGCCUGUUCCAGUGUUGACCACCCUUACAGUAGAGAGAUUUUUCCUUAUAGGGCAACAGGGAUCAUCAAAAACAUGGAUUUCCUGAUGAGGAACAAAGGUAGGCAAAACAUUUCAGCUUGUGGCAGAGAUCUGUAGGGGUUGUGACAGGUCUACAAAAUCAUGAGUGACAUGGAAUGCAUGAGUAGGGACAGAUGGUUUUUCCAAAGAAGUCCAGUGAGCAGAGCCAGAGGCAACCUUCUUCAAAACAAAAAGAAAGAUGCAGAGUAGGCUGACUCUGAAAUAUGGUGCUUAAGGAAGUCCUGAAUGCAAAAAUGUUUACAUGGGCUCAAGGAAAGAAGUGGAAAAUUCUCAGGGAAAGAGAUGCACUGGGGGUGACCAGACACAAACCUCAGUAGAAGAAAAAGAAGAAGCUUGGAAAGCACACACAUGCAGUGUUCCUUUCUUUGUUUAGUGAUUAAUUGUUUCACUCUAGAAAAAUGCUUUUGAACACAUUGACCACAAGAUAAAGCCCUUCUCUCUCUCUGUACCUCUCCCAAGAGUGUUUAGAGCUUUAUUUCCCAUGCCUUGAGUCUCAGUGAGUCCUUUCAGUCUAGAUACCUAACAAACCCAAAAAGUAAGUUUCCAUACUCCCAUUUCCUUCAAAGCAAUACCAACCCUACUUUGAACAUAAGCUGCUCAUCCCUAAGACAAAGCAAAACUAUUUUUUCUAUUUUUAUAUUCACAUUACAAAUAUGCACUCUUAACAGGACCUAUUUACUUACCCCUCCCUGCCAUAUCAGGAAUUCACCUCCCUGAAUAUUAUAAUUCCCAACAUUAAUAAUACAAUAAACUCCAAUAUUAUAAUUCCAUCAAAGUUAGGUUUUAAACUAGUAUAAAAUUACUGAAAUGGAUAAGAGAGCUUAGCUUCUACUAAACAAGAAUUAUUUCAUCUACCGCAUUUGAAAUGCAAUCCUACAGUUAAGUAGUGAAGAAAAGAACAACUACAUAGUUUAUAAAGAGCAAAUUAGAGGAAGCAGAGCAGUUGUAUAUGAUAAAAUUUGGCUACAAACACUAAAAUAAAGACCUCGGAUUUGGAAAAACAACAGAGGUGUUCUUCUCCUAUUCAAGACAUUGACUCUGCCAGAGUGACACUAAACAAUGUGGGAUCAAGUUUCCUUCAUAUAUAUUAAAAAAUUGUGUGUGCAUAUGUACAUAUAUAUGAAAGAAAAUAUAUGAAUUACAUACAGAUGUGUAAUAUAUAUAUAGAGAGAGACAGAGAUAGAAGUUUUUAUCAUUAGUUUUUAAGUAACAGGAGAAGGUUAAGAGUACAAGAGGAGGGGAGAAAAGCAUAAAGAAAGAUUUCCAGAGAAAAAAGGAUAACAUAACCUUUGAAAAUUUACUAAGGCUUAAGAUAUGUCUACUCAUACACUGCUUUCUACCCAUUUCAUUAGAUUUUAAUUUUCUUUUUACGUCCUUUUCCUCUACAGAUUCUGAGAAGUAAUUAUUUCAAUAUCAAUUGAUUUGGAGGAACAGUCCCAAGUCAGAAUUAAGCAGCUUAUGGAAGUUUGUCUUGUUCCUGGUUAAACAUUCUUGCUAUGCAGCUGGUUAAGCUGCUUGCAGUAAUAAAAUCCAGCUGAAAUAACGGAAUUGUGCUUGUGAACCCAGACUUGGCUUGGCUAAGGGGAACUUCUCAAAUGGCUCCCAUCAAUGUCAUAGAUUUAGAGAAAGCUUUCCCAAAUAAUCAAGCAGAGGCAAAGAAACAGAAAAAGCUUAAUCACUUUCCUCCAGUGCUUCUUUCAUGAAAACGAGAAUAUCAUACUCUUACACACCGAACCAAUAACAGCAACAACAGUUAAUCUGCUGCUUAUGUUGUAAUAAACAAUUAGAUUCAAA